ACGCUCGACACCUACGGGAGGCAGCAGUCGGGAAUAUUGCGCAAUGGAGGAAACUCUGACGCAGUGACGCCGCGUAUAGGAAGAAGGUUUUCGGAUUGGUAAACUAUUGUCGUUAGGGAAGAGAAAGGACAGUACCUAAGGAGGAAGCUCCGGCUAACUACGUGCCACAGCCGCGGUAAUCUGAGCGGGCUGGCAAGGC
Molecule: ribosomal RNA, 199 nt
Filed under: uncultured bacterium
Lineage: Bacteria
Description: partial 16S ribosomal RNA
Rfam family: Bacterial small subunit ribosomal RNA
Source: RNAcentral